Molecule: long non-coding RNA, 212 nt
Filed under: Gossypium barbadense (sea-island cotton)
Lineage: Eukaryota; Viridiplantae; Streptophyta; Magnoliopsida; Malvales; Malvaceae
Description: long non-coding RNA (GBAR_LNC013269)
Source: RNAcentral
UGCCAAGUGUUCAAACGUCUAUUUUGGACCUUUACGCAAUGCCGAAACACAUUUCCAUACUGCAAGCCAUUGGUACAAAUUGACAGUACCUUUAUGUUUAGUAGGUAUACUCAUCGGCUAUUGCUUGCAGUGGCACAGGAUGGCGAUGGGAGAAUUCUUCCAAUUGCAUUUGCAAUAACACCGGGGGAGUCACCUGAUGACUGGGAUUUCUU